AUACCUUUCUCGGCCUUUUGGCUAAGAUCAAGUGUAGUAUCUGUUCUUAUCAGUUUAAUAUCUGAUAUGUGGUCCAAUGGAUCACAUGAUAUUAAAUUACUUUUUUGAGGGGGAGGAGCCACUACAAUAGCUUGCUAUUGGGCUUUUCGUGUGUCGCCCAUGCGUUACACUAUUGCAUAGGCUGGCGCACCCCAC
Molecule: small nuclear RNA, 195 nt
Filed under: Trifolium pratense (red clover)
Lineage: Eukaryota; Viridiplantae; Streptophyta; Magnoliopsida; Fabales; Fabaceae
Description: snRNA U2
Rfam family: U2 spliceosomal RNA
About the family: U2 is a small nuclear RNA (snRNA) component of the spliceosome (involved in pre-mRNA splicing). Complementary binding between U2 snRNA (in an area lying towards the 5' end but 3' to hairpin I) and the branchpoint sequence (BPS) of the intron results the bulging out of an unpaired adenosine, on the BPS, which initiates a nucleophilic attack at the intronic 5' splice site, thus starting the first of two transesterification reactions that mediate splicing.
Source: RNAcentral